This 378-nucleotide ribosomal RNA is filed under the name uncultured bacterium. RNAcentral's name for it is "bacterial SSU rRNA". It matches the Rfam family "Bacterial small subunit ribosomal RNA", at positions 28 to 394 of the family's 1533-position model. The record is from RNAcentral.
GACGAACGCUGGCGGCGUGCUUAACACAUGCAAGUCGAACGGGGCGAAGUGAUAGCUUGCUAUUAUGGAGCCUAGUGGCAAACGGGUGAGUAACGCGUAGGCAACCUGCCCUUNAGAUGGGGACAACACCUCGAAGGGGGUGCUAAUACCGAAUGACGUUUCCUAGUCGCAUGACCUGGAAACCAAAGGCCGGGCAACCGGUCACUGAAGGAUGGGCCUGCGUCUGAUUAGCUAGUUGGUGGGGUAACGGCCCACCAAGGCGACGAUCAGUAGCCGGUCUGAGAGGAUGAACGGCACAUUGGGACUGAGACACGGCCCAAACUCCUACGGGAGCAGCAGUGGGAAUAUUGCACAAUGGGGGAAACCCUGAUGCAGCGA